GAUGAAGAACGUAGCGAAAUGCGAUACUUGGUGUGAAUUGCAGAAUCCCGUGAACCAUCGAGUCUUUGAACGCAAGUUGCGCCCGAAGCCAUUAGGCCGAGGGCACGCCUGCCUGGGCGUCACACGUCGUUGCCCCCCCAUCUACUCCUUCGGGAUUGCGGGGGGCGGAUGAUGGCCUCUCGUGCGCCUCGUCGCGCGGUUGGCCUAAAUGCCAAGUCCUCGGCGACGCACGCCACGACAAUCGGUGGUUGCGAAACCUCGGUUGCCUGUCGUGUGCGGUCGUCGCGCAUCGAGGGCUCGAAAAAAUUGCCGGGCUUCGGCUCGACUUUCAACGCGACCCCAGGUCAGGCGGGGUUACCCGCUGAAUUUAAGCAUAUCAAUAAGCGGGGA
This 390-nucleotide unclassified non-coding RNA is filed under the name soil metagenome. RNAcentral's name for it is "partial contains 5.8S ribosomal RNA, internal transcribed spacer 2, and large subunit ribosomal RNA". The stretch from base 1 to 122 matches the Rfam family "5.8S ribosomal RNA", at positions 35 to 154 of the family's 154-position model. The record is from RNAcentral.